Molecule: non-coding RNA, 4539 nt
Organism: Cyanistes caeruleus (blue tit)
Lineage: Eukaryota; Metazoa; Chordata; Aves; Passeriformes; Paridae
Source: RefSeq, a predicted model, not a curated record
CAGGCCGCCAUCUUGUUAUGCUGAGGGGAAUGGGGUUAGGCGGGCCCUGCGGGGCAGGGCACAGAGCACAGGAUGAAACAUGACAAAAUAACAAUGUGUCAGAGGUUCCUGGGGAGGAUGGCAGGCUGUGGAGGCACUCUAGUUGCGCUUGUUGGAGGUUGUGUAGUUGCAUCUAAAAGCAAAUGGCUUCCAGCAGCUCAAGCCUUUAACAUAAGCCAUGUGUGUUCUUACAAAUAACAAGGCAAGAUGAUAGAAUCAUAACUGGUUUGGGUUGGAAGGUUCUAGUGCCUCACUGCCUUGACAGGGAAGAAUUUAUUUUUUAAACCUACUGCCUUUGAGUUUAAAGCCAUUCCCAAUGAGAACCAAGGAGUUAAACAGAGAAUAUGACGUGAUCUGGGAGAUGGUGUUCAGCAGUGACCCAAAAAGACACACAUACUCCUCUGCUGUAAGACUUUUCCACCAGCGCAUGUGGGAGGAAAAGACCAAAAGUGCAGAAAGUACCCAAGGCAAAGAAGCUGUUGACUCAUUUAGUUUACUAAAAACUAAUAGUGCUCAACUUAUGCUUUCUCCAGGGCUCAUUCCACCACCAGAAAUGUCUGAGCUUCAAAAACCCCCAUCAGAGAGCAGUGGGAUAUUCCUGUCAUACUGUGGUGUCGUCCUCCAUUUUCUCCAAGAAUCCAUUUCCACACAUACAUUAAAUGCACUUUAAGCCUUUCCCACCAAUUUCCCUCCACUGAUCAUUUACGUAUUACAUUUAAACAAACACAUUCAUGCAUGAAAUCAAAAGCCACAAAAAAUUCCUCACAUGCCAUGAUGAGAAAAUUGCUGUCUGCUCCAUGGAAAUCAGAAAGAAAUCAGAAAUAAGCAAUUUCUUUGAUAACUGUAGGGAAUCUCCAAUGAUUUCUGUCAAUGAGAAGAACUUACUAAUUCCUACAAUUUUCAGCAGGGAGAAACAAAAGAAAUACAAGUGAAUAAUAAAAAAAUGAUAGAUCAGCAACCAUGUGCAGUCCGAAGAGCCACUCCUUAACUAGCACUGAAAGAAAAAACAGCAUCAGAAUAAAGGAAGGCUUUAAGGAGAGAUUUGAAUGACAACAACAUAAGUUUAGUGAAUGAGCAGCUCCCACAUGCAAAGAGUGGCAUGGAGGUUGGUCAAAGAGGAAGAAGGCCUGUUGUGGAAGAAAAAACCCCUUUCCCCUCAGGUAUUAAUACAUUAUCAGUUAAUAAUUCAAAGGGUUUGGGGUAUCAUUCUUUAAUAAAAGAAUGCAAAUCAAUAUUAUCUUGAUGGAUAUAUUUGUGGAAACCACCUCCACAGCAAGAAAGUCUUAGUGGUGUACGAAAGGAGACAUUGAAAGGUAGGUAAAGAGAUACAGUGAACUUUAAAGCAACAUUGUUUAAUGAUCUGACAAAAGUUGUUCUUUGUUAAUUAGACUAACCUCUAGAAGUCUCACACCAAAGCUGCAAACAGAACAUGUUACUAUAUUUUGCUACUUAAUAAUGUCCAGGCGCUUCCAUCAUUGAAACAACAUAACCUGGCACUGGCAGGGCUAGACUUUACACUAUUCCCUGCCAGUGCCAGAGAGAUUCUUAUUGCUUAUUUCAAGACCCUCCUGCUCUUUAUUUUAAGCAGAUCUGUUUUGUGAUAGAGUGUCUUUCCUUGGGAGAAAACUUACACCUUUCUCUUGUGGAUCUGACAGAUUUCAGCAGCUUGGGCUGCUGGGCAUGUGCAGGUGUCAGAUCAGCAAGUCCUAGGCUGGGGACAGAAACUGUUCUAAUUUUGAACUACCCUGCUACAUACUUUUCUAAGAACAUUCACACUGCUGCUUUUGAUUAUUCAAAUCCACAUCCUGGAAGUUCUCUUUCAGCCUCUGAAACUUAAUGCAGUUUUUGACAAAACAGUGAACAUUUGAGAAGCAGUGAUUGUAGAGUUACGAGUAUGUGCAGUUUGGACAAGAACUCUGACUGUUCUUGAAUGUGUAUUCACUUAAAAAGAGGCUCAGCCUUUUGACUGGAGGGAGGACAUGCUGGAGAGUGAUCUCAGUUGUACGUGCAUGAAUCUUUUUGAUGGACUAAAAAUUCUUCCACCCCCUGCAGAGAACACCAGCUCUCUUGGCUCUAGUUCUUCUGUCCUGUCACUUACCAACUCGCCCUUGAACUGGAGCAAUGGAUAUAUUUUGUGGUUCACCUGCUACUGCAGUAAUUAAUUCCAGUGGGAAAAUGUAGUAAUAUUUCACAUCAAGGAUCAACUGAGAAAUAAUUCCCUUUUUAUUUUUUUUUUUAUUCUGUAUACUGCACUGAUAUAAUGUUAACAAAGCUGAAGUAAUGUAUCACUGAAGCUGAAAAAAAUAAUAAAUUGAAAUAUUAUGAAAUAUUAAGAUACCAGAUAUAGGUGAAUAUAGAACUGGGAAUAUUUAAAAGUUGUAUAUUGCUAAAUGUGACCUAGUUGGUACAGCACAGAACUGGAAGCCAGCUCUGGAAUCUAACAUUAAGUGUGUCAUAAGGAAGAUCAUUUAAUUCACCUCAUUUCUCUGUAAGAUGAGAAUAACAAUAAUCAUUCUUAUGAAUUGCUUUGUGUUGUGCACCUGAAAGAUGAGUAUUAUAGCUACUAAUUAAACAUUAUUUUAAUCUUCAAAUUUACUUUCCCUGUUAAACUUUAAUAAGUGUUUAUGCUCCCUUAAUGCCAGAGAGGAAAAAAAGUAUGAUUGUGAAGCAGCUGCUAAGAAUUUCUCCCAGAAGUUAUUUAAUAUUAAAUUGGAAUUGAGUCAUCUGUUUUAGAUAAAGGUGCAAUGCAAGAAAUAAUAUGUGAGAGUUGAAAUUUUGAGUAAAAUAUAUUCAAAGGAGAAUCAGAGCAGCUAACAUCCCAGUUCCAUCAAACUGGCUCCCAUCCCCUGGUACCCUGUGUCCAGAAAUUGGAAAUAGGUGUUGUGAUUUCUCUUCAGCUUAGAGCAAAUGUAACAGUAUUUCUUUAAAAUAGUUGCAGCCAUAGGUUACAGAUUGUUCCUGUUGUUCUCUCAGUGUCACCUCUCCUGCCAUCUCCACCCAGCCCAGGAGAAGGGGGCACUGGGCAGUUCUGGGGCCAUUGGGGUUGCAGUGGACUCCAGUGUAGCUGGGUAUUGGUACUGGCACUGGUAAAUAUAUCACUCUCUGUAUUUGUAUUGUAAACCAGUAAGUGAUUUUCUACUCCUCUCUGUAAAGUUCUCUAAGCUAUAUGUCAGUGAAACUUUAGAGUGUCUUUUCCCUGGUCUCUCUUCACAGCUGUCAGAGACUAAUGGCUGCUCUCCAAACCCUAGGCUUUGAUGGUAGAGGUUUUGUGCCUAAAAUUAAAACAGUGGUUCUAAAGCAGAUUCCUAACUCCAGUGAAACUAGGAAUUUCAUCCAUUGAUUUAAGAGAUCAUAUGUCAGCCUUGUCUUCUUGUAAGAGGAAGAUUGCAAUCUGUCCUGUCUGUCAUCUCUUUUGAAAAGCAUAAGAAGGUAAAUUUGAACUUUUCCUGCUUCCCAAUAUCUACUGCCCUAAAUAGCAUAAUGACAUUUUCCAAUUUCCUACGCAGAGGAACUUCUGCUGUGGCAUAGAUUUCUUCUUCUGCUUUUUACUCUUAUUUCCUAUGCACAGUUUAUCACAUAAUAAAAUCUACAGCUGUAAUUUUCUAAUGAGAAUAUAAGAAACACAGCCAAGUUACUCCAGGCUGCCUCUGCUGUCCAACAAACUUGGACACAUAAACAAUGAGGAGCAGCUUAAAACCUGCAUGUCUACAGGGUAGGGUAACUGGAGAUAGAAUUGUUUCAAAAACAAGUAGAUAAAUACUCAAGGUGAUUGAAAUAGUGAUUGAAAUUAGCAAGGCUGGAAAUGAUUUUAUAAAUGUGGUAUUGAGAAAAAAAUUUAGCAGAUCAUUGGCGGACUGAAUUUUAGCAGGCAUGGUUGUAUGCUAGUGUUGGGUUCCCUGACUCACUCCAUGAAAUUAUUAGCGCCGUGCCUCUGGUUGCAGCAGAGGUUGGAUGUAUCUCACUUUGUAUGACAUGAAGGUCACAAUCUGCCAGCACAGAAAAUAUGCAUUUAAUGAACUUCAUCCACCAGCAGGCAUCUCAUUGUCUAAGCCUACUCUACAGGGAGUGAAGAAAAACAUCUCCAGAAGGAGAUUCAUACUAAAAUAGAUGUCUAGAAUAAGUGGGACAAAUUAUCCCUCAGAGAUGUCUGAUCUUCCUCAUUUGCUGUAGAGGUCUCUAAUUAUUGACUUAUGUUCUAUCAUUUCUGCUAGAGUGAAUGCUGACUAGAUACAAACAUGAAGUGGGGUGGUGUCUGUGCUACUGUGCUUUACACAUUGUUGCCCAAAUUAGGCAGGCAUUGAAGUUCUGGGGUUUUUUUCUUUGUCAGAAGCUACUGCAAUGAAUGUUGGUAUGGAGCACUAAUGAGCUAAUGAGAAGUACAGUGCAUGCUCAGCUCUCCCGGGUUUCCUGUGGUACAGGUGACCUUAUGAUCAUUAGAGGAAUAAGGUCUACGGACAGGAACCACAGGAACUGGUUGUGGGUGUAAACCAUCUUUUAAAG